This 74-nucleotide small RNA is filed under the name Arabidopsis thaliana (thale cress). Its description in RNAcentral is "ATSL084890". Lineage: Eukaryota; Viridiplantae; Streptophyta; Magnoliopsida; Brassicales; Brassicaceae. The record is from RNAcentral.
UAAGAAUAUAAAAUCACAAAAGGACGCGCAAUCAAAAGAUCGUGUAAAAUAAGGAAAAAUCGAAAAUUUUGAUU